Molecule: ribosomal RNA, 1355 nt
Filed under: uncultured bacterium
Lineage: Bacteria
Description: bacterial SSU rRNA
Rfam family: Bacterial small subunit ribosomal RNA
Source: RNAcentral
AUUGAACGCUGGCGGCAGGCUUAACACAUGCAAGUCGAACGACGAUUAUCUAGCUUGCUAGAUAUGAUUAGUGGCGGACGGGUGAGUAACAUUUAGGAAUCUGCCUAGUAGUGGGGGAUAGCUCGGGGAAACUCGAAUUAAUACCGCAUACGACCUACGGGUGAAAGGGGGCGCAAGCUCUUGCUAUUAGAUGAGCCUAAAUCAGAUUAGCUAGUUGGUGGGGUAAAGGCCCACCAAGGCGACGAUCUGUAACUGGUCUGAGAGGAUGAUCAGUCACACCGGAACUGAGACACGGUCCGGACUCCUACGGGAGGCAGCAGUGGGGAAUAUUGGACAAUGGGGGCAACCCUGAUCCAGCCAUGCCGCGUGUGUGAAGAAGGCCUUUUGGUUGUAAAGCACUUUAAGCAGGGAGGAGAGGCUAAUGGUUAAUACCCAUUAGAUUAGACGUUACCUGCAGAAUAAGCACCGGCUAACUCUGUGCCAGCAGCCGCGGUAAUACAGAGGGUGCGAGCGUUAAUCGGAAUUACUGGGCGUAAAGCGAGUGUAGGUGGCUCAUUAAGUCACAUGUGAAAUCCCCGGGCUUAACCUGGGAACUGCAUGUGAUACUGGUGGUGCUAGAAUAUGUGAGAGGGAAGUAGAAUUCCAGGUGUAGCGGUGAAAUGCGUAGAGAUCUGGAGGAAUACCGAUGGCGAAGGCAGCUUCCUGGCAUAAUAUUGACACUGAGAUUCGAAAGCGUGGGUAGCAAACAGGAUUAGAUACCCUGGUAGUCCACGCCGUAAACGAUGUCUACUAGCCGUUGGGGUCCUUGAGACUUUAGUGGCGCAGUUAACGCGAUAAGUAGACCGCCUGGGGAGUACGGCCGCAAGGUUAAAACUCAAAUGAAUUGACGGGGGCCCGCACAAGCGGUGGAGCAUGUGGUUUAAUUCGAUGCAACGCGAAGAACCUUACCUGGUCUUGACAUAGUGAGAAUCCUGCAGAGAUGCGGGAGUGCCUUCGGGAAUUCACAUACAGGUGCUGCAUGGCUGUCGUCAGCUCGUGUCGUGAGAUGUUGGGUUAAGUCCCGCAACGAGCGCAACCCUUUUCCUUAUUUGCCAGCGGGUUAAGCCGGGAACUUUAAGGAUACUGCCAGUGACAAACUGGAGGAAGGCGGGGACGACGUCAAGUCAUCAUGGCCCUUGCGACCAGGGCUACACACGUGCUACAAUGGUAGGUACAGAGGGUUGCUACACAGCGAUGUGAUGCUAAUCUCAAAAAGCCUAUCGUAGUCCGGAUUGGAGUCUGCAACUCGACUCCAUGAAGUCGGAAUCGCUAGUAAUCGCAGAUCAGAAUGCUGCGGUGAAUACGUUCCCGGGCCU